UUUAUAAAGAGUUUGAUCCUGGCUCAGGACGAACGCUGGCGGCGCGCCUAACACAUGCAAGUCGAACGAGCGAGAGAGAGCUUGCUUUCUCGAGCGAGUGGCGAACGGGUGAGUAACGCGUGAGGAACCUGCCUCAAAGAGGGGGACAACAGUUGGAAACGACUGCUAAUACCGCAUAAGCCCACGG
RNAcentral lists this ribosomal RNA (187 nucleotides) under Faecalibacterium sp. AM43-5AT. RNAcentral describes it as "partial 16S ribosomal RNA". It matches the Rfam family "Bacterial small subunit ribosomal RNA", at positions 1 to 184 of the family's 1533-position model. The record is from RNAcentral. Lineage: Bacteria; Bacillati; Bacillota; Clostridia; Eubacteriales; Oscillospiraceae.